This 330-nucleotide ribosomal RNA is filed under the name Gadopsis bispinosus. RNAcentral's name for it is "partial 12S ribosomal RNA". Lineage: Eukaryota; Metazoa; Chordata; Actinopteri; Centrarchiformes; Percichthyidae. The record is from RNAcentral.
UAUAGGNGACAAGGAGCCGAUAUCAGGCACAUAAAACUAGCCCAUAACAUCUUGNUAAGCCACACCCCCAAGGGAAGUCAGCAGUGAUAAACAUUAAGCCAUAAGUGAAAACUUGACUUAAUUAAAGCUAAAUAGGGCCGGUAAAACUCGUGCCAGCCACCGCGGUUAUACGAGAGACCCAAGUUGAUAAAACACGGCGUAAAGCGUGGUUAAGAACAACUAAAAAUAAAGUCAAAUAUCUCCAAGGCUGUUAUACGCACCCGAAGAUUAGAAGUCCAACCACGAAAGUGACUUUAUAUUCCUGAAUCCACGAAAGCCAUGACACAAACU